GCCAGUGUGGUAUAGUGAUUUUAGUGUUAAGACUAGGACUCAGGAGAUCAGGGUUCAAUUCCCUGCUCUGUCA
Phrynosoma platyrhinos (Desert horned lizard) is the source of this 73-nucleotide non-coding RNA. NCBI's taxonomy places the organism in Eukaryota, Metazoa, Chordata, Lepidosauria, Squamata, Phrynosomatidae. The record is from the annotation of a GenBank genome assembly.